UACAGAGGGUGCACGCGUUAAUCGGAAUUACUGGGCGUACAGCGCACGUCGGCGGUUUUUUAAGUCAGAUGUGAAAGCACCGGGCUCAACCUGGGAAUUGCAUUUGAAACUGGGAAACUAGAGUGUGUGAGAGGGGGGUAGAAUUCCAAGUGUAGCGGUGAAAUGCGUAGAGAUUUGGAGGAAUACCAGUGGCGAAGGCGGCCCCCUGGCACAACACUGACGCUCAGGUGCGAAAGCGUGGGGAGCAAACAGG
Molecule: ribosomal RNA, 253 nt
Filed under: uncultured bacterium
Lineage: Bacteria
Description: partial 16S ribosomal RNA
Rfam family: Bacterial small subunit ribosomal RNA
Source: RNAcentral